This 607-nucleotide ribosomal RNA is filed under the name Salmonella enterica subsp. enterica serovar Give. RNAcentral describes it as "partial 23S ribosomal RNA". It matches the Rfam family "Bacterial large subunit ribosomal RNA", at positions 62 to 607 of the family's 2925-position model. The record is from RNAcentral. Lineage: Bacteria; Pseudomonadati; Pseudomonadota; Gammaproteobacteria; Enterobacterales; Enterobacteriaceae.
UAAUCUGCGAUAAGCGCCGGUAAGGUGAUAUGAACCGUUAUAACCGGCGAUUUCCGAAUGGGGAAACCCAGUGUGACUCGUCACACUAUCAUUAACUGAAUCCAUAGGUUAAUGAGGCGAACCGGGGGAACUGAAACAUCUAAGUACCCCGAGGAAAAGAAAUCAACCGAGAUUCCCCCAGUAGCGGCGAGCGAACGGGGAGGAGCCCAGAGCCUGAAUCAGCAUGUGUGUUAGUGGAAGCGUCUGGAAAGGCGCGCGAUACAGGGUGACAGCCCCGUACACAAAAGCGCAUGUGCUGUGAGCUCGAUGAGUAGGGCGGGACACGUGGUAUCCUGUCUGAAUAUGGGGGGACCAUCCUCCAAGGCUAAAUACUCCUGACUGACCGAUAGUGAACCAGUACCGUGAGGGAAAGGCGAAAAGAACCCCGGCGAGGGGAGUGAAAAAGAACCUGAAACCGUGUACGUACAAGCAGUGGGAGCCCCACCACUAAGCCAGUGGUGAACUCCACAUACGCAUCCUUUGCUGAGGAUACGGUUAACGGAGCGAAAGCGACGUUCAACCUCAAAAGAAGCAGAGGGGGCUUAGUGGUGGGGUGACUGCGUACCUU